RNAcentral lists this ribosomal RNA (457 nucleotides) under uncultured bacterium. RNAcentral's name for it is "partial 16S ribosomal RNA". It matches the Rfam family "Bacterial small subunit ribosomal RNA", at positions 338 to 795 of the family's 1533-position model. The record is from RNAcentral.
CCUACGGGAGGCUGCAGUGAGGAAUAUUGGUCAAUGGGAGGAAUCCUGAACCAGCCAUGCCGCGUGCAGGACGACGGCCCUAUGAGUUGUAAACUGCUUUUGUACCGGGGUAAAAUGCUCUACGAGUAGGGUUUUGAAAGUACGGUACGAAUAAGGAUCGGCUAACUCCGUGCCAGCAGCCGCGGUAAUACGGAGGAGCCGUGCGUUAGCCGGAUUCAUUGGGUUUAAAGGGUGCGUAGGUUGUUUAAUAAGUUAAUGGUGAAAUACGGAUGCUCAACAUCGGUGCUGCCGAUACUGUAGGACUGGAGUGCGGAUGCAGCGGGCGGAAUGUGUGGUGUAGCGGUGAAAUGCAUAGAUAUUACACAGAACACCGAUUGCGAAGGCAGCUUACUAGUCCGGAUCUGACACUGAUGCACGAAAGCGUGGGGAUCAAACAGGAUUAGAUACCCUAGUAGUC